This is a non-coding RNA of Rhamnusium bicolor, 72 nucleotides long. Lineage: Eukaryota; Metazoa; Arthropoda; Insecta; Coleoptera; Cerambycidae. The record is from the annotation of a GenBank genome assembly.
ACCUUUGUAGUCGAAGGAUAAAGACAUUCGUCUCUCACUCUGGUGGCUCGGGUUCGAUUCCCCACGAGGAGA